UUUAACCCUGACAGGUAAGAUAUCAGAUAUCAGUACCACUUUAACCCUGACAGGUAAGAUAUCAGAUAUCAGUACCACUUUAACCCUGACAGGUCAGAUAUCAGAUAUCAGUACUACUUUAACCCUGACAGGUCAGAUAUCAGUACCACUUUAACCCUGACAGGUCAGAUAUCAGAUAUCAGUACUACUUUAACCCUGACAGGUCAGAUAUCAGAUAUCAGUACUACUUUAACCCUGACAGGUAAGAUAUCAGAGAUCAGUACCACUUUAACCCUGACAGGUAAGAUAUCAGAGAUCAGUACCACUUUAACCCUGACAGGUAAGAUAUCAGAUAUCAGUACCACUUUAACCCUGACAGGUAAGAUAUCAGAUAUCAGUACCACUUUAACCCUGACAGGUAAGAUAUCAGAUAUCAGUACCACUUUAACCCUGACAGGUCAGAUAUCAGUACCACUUUAACCCUGACAGGUCAGAUAUCAGUACCACUUUAAACCUGACAGGUCAGAUAUCAGUACCACUUUAACCCUGACAGGUCAGAUAUCAGUACCACUUUAACCCUGACAGGUCAGAUAUCAGUACCACUUUAACCCUGACAGGUCAGAUAUCAGUACCACUUUAACCCUGACAGGUCAGAUAUCAGUACCACUUUAACCUUGACAGGUCAGAUAUCAGUACCACUUUAACCCUGACAGGUCAGAUAUCAGUACCACUUUAACCCUGACAGGUCAGAUAUCAGUACCACUUUAACCCUGACAGGUCAGAUAUCAGUACCACUUUAACCCUGACAGGUCAGAUAUCAG
This is a long non-coding RNA of Oncorhynchus keta (chum salmon), 800 nucleotides long. RefSeq lists it as uncharacterized. Lineage: Eukaryota; Metazoa; Chordata; Actinopteri; Salmoniformes; Salmonidae. The transcript has 5 exons. The record is from RefSeq and is a predicted model, not a curated record.